This 86-nucleotide transfer RNA is filed under the name Candidatus Methanofastidiosum methylothiophilum. Its description in RNAcentral is "Arc I group archaeon U1lsi0528_Bin089 tRNA-Ser". It matches the Rfam family "tRNA". Rfam says of the family: Transfer RNA (tRNA) molecules are approximately 80 nucleotides in length. Their secondary structure includes four short double-helical elements and three loops (D, anti-codon, and T loops). Further hydrogen bonds mediate the characteristic L-shaped molecular structure. tRNAs have two regions of fundamental functional importance: the anti-codon, which is responsible for specific mRNA codon recognition, and the 3' end, to which the tRNAs corresponding amino acid is attached (by aminoacyl-tRNA synthetases). tRNAs cope with the degeneracy of the genetic code in two manners: having more than one tRNA (with a specific anti-codon) for a particular amino acid; and 'wobble' base-pairing, i.e. permitting non-standard base-pairing at the 3rd anti-codon position. Lineage: Archaea; Methanobacteriati; Methanobacteriota; Candidatus Methanofastidiosia; Candidatus Methanofastidiosales; Candidatus Methanofastidiosaceae. The record is from RNAcentral.
GGAGGGAUUGCCGAGCUUGGCCAAAGGUGCAGGAUUCAGAGUCCUGUCACGUAGGUGUUCGUGGGUUCAAAUCCCACUCCCUCCAC